AAGAAGAACAAGAAGCUGCUGUGUUUGUACUGUAGAGCCUCAUCUAUCUUUAAUAAUGCAGUCAGCAGAGGAGAGACACGUCACCCCUGUGGAUCUACAACAUGAAGGAUUUCUAAUAAAACAAGAGGAAGAAGAUGGAAGUUACUUCUAUGAAGGAGACUUAAUCCCUGUGGAACUUGUCACCUCUGAGGAACAUCUCUCCCCAGUGUACCAACAGUGUGGAGGUUUCCAGAUGAAGCCUGUGAAGAAGGAAGAACCUGAAGAUAAAGAUGAACUUAGUAAGAUAUUUGUAUUGAAUAGAAUCAGAGGCACCUGGGAUGAAGCAUCAUACAGUGAAAGCUUGUAUUGUAAAUACCACCCAACAUUUUCUGCAACUU
Trichomycterus rosablanca is the source of this 377-nucleotide long non-coding RNA. RefSeq lists it as uncharacterized. NCBI's taxonomy places the organism in Eukaryota, Metazoa, Chordata, Actinopteri, Siluriformes, Trichomycteridae. The record is from RefSeq and is a predicted model, not a curated record. The transcript has 3 exons.